This 494-nucleotide ribosomal RNA is filed under the name uncultured bacterium. RNAcentral's name for it is "partial 16S ribosomal RNA". It matches the Rfam family "Bacterial small subunit ribosomal RNA", at positions 28 to 506 of the family's 1533-position model. The record is from RNAcentral.
GACGAACGCUGGCGGCGUGCCUAAUACAUGCAAGUAGAACGCUGAAGGAGGAGCUUGCUUCUCUGGAUGAGUUGCGAACGGGUGAGUAACGCGUAGGUAACCUGCCUGGUAGCGGGGGAUAACUAUUGGAAACGAUAGCUAAUACCGCAUAAUAUUGACUAUUGCAUGAUAGUCAGUUGAAAGGUGCAACUGCACCACUACCAGAUGGACCUGCGUUGUAUUAGCUAGUUGGUGGGGUAACGGCUCACCAAGGCGACGAUACAUAGCCGACCUGAGAGGGUGAUCGGCCACACUGGGACUGAGACACGGCCCAGACUCCUACGGGAGGCAGCAGUAGGGAAUCUUCGGCAAUGGACGGAAGUCUGACCGAGCAACGCCGCGUGAGUGAAGAAGGUGUUCGGAUCGUAAAGCUCUGUUGUAAGAGAAGAACGAGUGUGAGAGUGGAAAGCUCACACUGUGACGGUAUCUUACCAGAAAGGGACGGCUAACUACGU